Molecule: ribosomal RNA, 254 nt
Filed under: uncultured bacterium
Lineage: Bacteria
Description: partial 16S ribosomal RNA
Rfam family: Bacterial small subunit ribosomal RNA
Source: RNAcentral
CACGUAGGGGGCAAGCGUUGUCCGGAUUUACUGGGCGUAAAGAGCUCGUAGGCUGUUCGAUAAGUCGGGUGUGAAACCUCCAGGCUCAACCUGGAGACGCCACCCGAUACUGUCAUGACUAGAGUCCGGUAGGGGAGCGUGGAAUUCCUGGUGUAGCGGUGAAAUGCGCAGAUAUCAGGAGGAACACCAGCGGCGAAGGCGGCGCUCUGGGCCGGUACUGACGCUGAGGAGCGAAAGCGUGGGUAGCAAACAGG